RNAcentral lists this ribosomal RNA (301 nucleotides) under uncultured bacterium. RNAcentral's name for it is "partial 16S ribosomal RNA". It matches the Rfam family "Bacterial small subunit ribosomal RNA", at positions 509 to 809 of the family's 1533-position model. The record is from RNAcentral.
CAGCCGCCGCGGUAAUACGAGGGGGGCAAGCGUUGUUCGGAAUUAUUGGGCGUAAAGGGUGCGUAGGCGGCUUGACAAGUCUUGUGUGAAAUCUAUGGGCUCAACCCAUAGUCUGCACGGGAAACUGUCGGGCUUGAGAAUGGGAGAGGUGAGUGGAAUUUCCGGUGUAGCGGUGAAAUGCGUAGAUAUCGGAAGGAACACCUGUGGCGAAAGCGGCUCACUGGACCAUUUCUGACGCUGAUGCACGAAAGCUAGGGGAGCAAACAGGAUUAGAUACCCCAGUAGUCCCUGUCUCUUAUAA